This 549-nucleotide ribosomal RNA is filed under the name uncultured bacterium. Its description in RNAcentral is "bacterial SSU rRNA". It matches the Rfam family "Bacterial small subunit ribosomal RNA", at positions 355 to 896 of the family's 1533-position model. The record is from RNAcentral.
UGGGGAAUAUUGGACAAUGGGCGAAAGCCUGAUCCAGCCAUGCCGCGUGUGUGAAGAAGGCCUUUUGGUUGUAAAGCACUUUAAGUGGGGAGGAAAAGCUUAUGGUUAAUACCCAUAAGCCCUGACGUUACCCACAGAAUAAGCACCGGCUAACUCUGUGCCAGCAGCCGCGGUAAUACAGAGGGUGCAAGCGUUAAUCGGAAUUACUGGGCGUAAAGCGCGCGUAGGUGGUUAUUUAAGUCAGAUGUGAAAGCCCCGAGCUUAACCUGGGAACUGCAUCUGAUACUGGAUAACUAGAGUAGGUGAGAGGGGAGUAGAAUUCCAGGUGUAGCGGUGAAAUGCGUAGAGAUCUGGAGGAAUACCGAUGGCGAAGGCAGCUCCCUGGCAUCAUACUGACACUGAGGUGCGAAAGCGUGGGUAGCAAACAGGAUUAGAUACCCUGGUAGUCCACGCCGUAAACGAUGUCUACCAGUCGUUGGGUCUUUUAAAGACUUAGUGACGCAGUUAACGCAAUAAGUAGACCGCCUGGGGAGUACGGCCGCAAGGUUA